AAUAGAUACCCUGGUAGUCCACGCUGUAAACGAUGUGUGCUAGACGUUGGGGAGCCUAGCUCUUCGGUGUCGCAGCUAACGCGGUAAGCACACCGCCUGGGGAGUACGGCCGCAAGGUUAAAACUCAAAGGAAUUGACGGGGGGCCCGCACAAGCGGUGGAGCACGUGGUUUAAUUCGAAGCAACGCGCAGAACCUUACCUGGGCUUGACAUGCUAGGAUUAUCUCUAUGAAAGUAGAGUAGGCCCUUCGGGGUACAACUAGUACAGGUGCUGCAUGGCUGUCGUCAGCUCGUGUCGUGAGAUGUCGGGUUAAGUCCCUUAACGAGCGAAACCUUUGCCCUUAGUUACCAUCGGGUUAUGCCGGGGACUCUAGGGGGACUGCCGGUGUCAAACCGGAGGAAGGUGGAGAUGACGUCAAGUCCUCAUGGCCUUUAUGCCCAGGGCCACACACGUGCUACAAUGGCGUCGACAGAGCGAACCUAAGCCGCAAGGCCAUGGCAAUCGCGCAAAUGACGCCCCAGUUCAGA
This 527-nucleotide ribosomal RNA is filed under the name uncultured bacterium. Its description in RNAcentral is "bacterial SSU rRNA". It matches the Rfam family "Bacterial small subunit ribosomal RNA", at positions 777 to 1297 of the family's 1533-position model. The record is from RNAcentral.